AACAGGGAUUGCCUCAGUAACGGCGAGUGAAGCGGCAACAGCUCAAAUUUGAAAUCUGGCUCCUUCGGGGUCCGAGUUGUAAUUUGUAGAAGAUGCUUUGGGUGUGGCCCUGGUCUAAGUUCCUUGGAACAGGACGUCAUAGAGGGUGAGAAUCCCGUAUGUGACUGGGUGUCCACGCCCGUGUAAAGCUCUUUCGACGAGUCGAGUUGUUUGGGAAUGCAGCUCAAAAUGGGUGGUAAAUUUCAUCUAAAGCUAAAUAUUGGCCAGAGACCGAUAGCGCACAAGUAGAGUGAUCGAAAGAUGAAAAGCACUUUGGAAAGAGAGUUAAACAGUACGUGAAAUUGUUGAAAGGGAAGCGCUUGCAAUCAGACUUGCGCGCCGUUGAUCAUCCAGGGUUCUCUCUGGUGCACUCUGCGGCGCUCAGGCCAGCAUCGGUUCGGGUGGUGGGAUAAAGGCCUUGGGAAUGUAGCUCCUCUCGGGGAGUGUUAUAGCCCUCGGUGCAAUGCCGCCUACCUGGACCGAGGACCGCGCUUCGGCUAGGAUGCUGGCGUAAUGGUUGUAAGCGACCCGUCUUGAAACACGGACCAAGGAGUCUAACAUCUAUGCGAGUGUUUGGGUGUCAAACCCAUGCGCGUAAUGAAAGUGAACGUUGGUAAGAACCCUUAAGGGUGCAUUAUCGACCGAUCCUGAUGUCUUCGGACGGAUUUGAGUAUGAGCAUAGCUGUUGGGACCCGAAAGAUGGUGAACUAUGCCUGAAUAGGGUGAAGCCAGAGGAAACUCUGGUGGAGGCUCGCAGCGGUUCUGACGUGCAAAUCGAUCGUCAAAUUUGGGUAUAGGGGCGAAAGACUAAUCGAACCAUCUA
This 862-nucleotide ribosomal RNA is filed under the name Helotiales sp. RNAcentral describes it as "partial large subunit ribosomal RNA". It matches the Rfam family "Eukaryotic large subunit ribosomal RNA", at positions 67 to 946 of the family's 3401-position model. Lineage: Eukaryota; Fungi; Ascomycota; Leotiomycetes; Helotiales. The record is from RNAcentral.